Molecule: transfer RNA, 76 nt
Filed under: Aerococcus viridans
Lineage: Bacteria; Bacillati; Bacillota; Bacilli; Lactobacillales; Aerococcaceae
Description: tRNA-Lys(ctt)
Rfam family: tRNA
About the family: Transfer RNA (tRNA) molecules are approximately 80 nucleotides in length.
Source: RNAcentral
UGGACUGAUAGCUCAGUUGGUAGAGCAACGGACUCUUAAUCCGUGGGUCCAGGGUUCGAGCCCCUGUCGGUCCAUC